This is a non-coding RNA of Equus caballus (horse), 4283 nucleotides long. NCBI's taxonomy places the organism in Eukaryota, Metazoa, Chordata, Mammalia, Perissodactyla, Equidae. The record is from RefSeq and is a predicted model, not a curated record.
UAGGUCCUCAAGGCUUAGGAUGUAAGCACUGGGUCUGGUCGAAACGCAUCGCCACCUUUUGUGCUAAACCACUCAUCCUCCAUCCCACAGUCACCUUUACAUGAUGCCCUCAAUUUUCACACAAAGCAUCAUUUUAUGAAACGGUCUGAUGUGGAGCAUCUGCCCGUUUUUUGUAAAACUGCUAACCCCGUAUUCUAGAAGAAUACUCCGUCAUGCCGUCCUGUGUCCAUCCCUUGAAGACGCAGGCAGCACAUUCUUUCCACAGCUCUGCCUUAGGAAAAACCUUCUUUCUCUUGGAGCUCUUCCUGUUUUUUAGAGAACAAGGUCUGAGUAAUUAUCGCUUCUUCUCUUUGUCACAGCUGCCAGAAAGCUGGCGCUAAGUUUUGUGCUGCAAUGGAGGUCGUUUAUUUCAGCUCAGGUUUUCUGGUGAGGAUAUUUGCCUCCUUCACCUUAUUCUUUGACUCCUGUCUUUUUAUUCUUGCUUCAGUGGUUUGUGGAUUGAUUGCAUCCUUCUUAGUGUAAAUUGCCCCAAACCUGCUCUGGAAAUAGGCCACUUUCCUCUCCAUCAGGGAUGUGGGCCAGGUGGUGGCUGCGACUUGACUGUCAGAGGGAGCUGAAUGUUCUCGGAAAGACGAUGCCAGUGUUCCGAGGUACCACGCCAGGUGCUGGAAUGCAAGGUGAGGAUGACAAACUGAGAAGUGCUGUAGAGACAGGGGACAAGGAACUGCCUGGGAAGGUGCGUGAGGGCUUCCGUAGAGGUGCCCAUGGAGCCGGGUGUGGAGGAAGGUGAGGCUGGUCUGGCGGGUGGCUAAGAGGCCGUGUGGAGGGCGUCCAGCGAGGCCACUGCGUGGGCCAUGUCAAGGUGCUGGGAACCUCAGCCUGUGCGCAGGCUAUGGCAUGUGGUUCCUUUUGCUGAUCGUGGAUGGACGGUGGGAGCUGACUCAGGGAAAGGAACUGGGGAGGCCAAACUCAACAAAUGAUGACAGAGGAGGCAGCUUAACAAACACUUCAGGAACGCACUAUUAGUAACAGAAAAUAGCUGGAAACGCCCAAAUGUUCACCGUGAAAGGAAUGGUGAGACAACCGGAGGCGUGUCCCCACAGCCAAGUGCUCUGCUGCGUGAAAAAGAGCAAAGCGAGUUUAUGUAUGCAAACACGGAAGGAAAUCCAACCCAGACUGUCGACUGGAAAAAGCACAUUGCAAAAGAAUGCAUAAUCUGGGAGAUAUACGUAUGCAAAGAAAAAACCCAAAUGUAUAUUUCAAAGGCUCUCACAUGUGUCCAUAAUGGCUUCACGUUUGCACGUGCUCAGGAAAAGAUCUGGAAAGAUAAAACACAAAUUGUUAUUGGUGGUUAUUUCGGGGCAGUGGGAGGAUGGUAGCAGGAAUGACCGUGGGAACCUACCCUGUUUUUUACAUAAAGGUUGUAUUCAUCCCUCCAUUCCUGGGCUGUGACCAGGGUGUGAGCAAAGGGUAGCACCAGCCCACAGCCUGAGAAUGCACUUUACUGGGGGCUUGGGAAGAAGGCACAGAAGGCUAUCGCCCCAAUUAUAUUUUGACUCUUCUCUUCCAGUCCUCCCAAGCUCGGCUUUCCACUUACACUACUCAUGGUCUCUAAUAAAUGGCGUGCCCCUCAUUACUGAUAUCUGUUUUCUGCUGGCAGGAUUAGCGCGUUCUUUGGGCGACCGGCUGCGGUUCUCAAGACUGAUAAGGAAGCCUGCACCAAUCUCUGUUGGAGGCCAGCGUCCUGAUAAGCGUGCUCUCUGUCUCCAGGCAUCUUCCGUGGAAUCCCUCUGGGAGGGUUUUGCCUGGUACCCUAAUGCUCGUGGAAUGAACACACCGGAGGCCUGCUGUCUGGGUCUGCAGAUAGAUGAGGGUGAGAGGCUGCGUGAACCACUUCUUGCUUUGCAAGAAGCAGGCGCUGCCCUCAGAGGUCAAAUGACGAGGGUGGUGGCAGGCAUUCCGUUGCAAGACAUUUGGAUGUGUGUCCAACAGCCCUUAGCAGGGCAGGCCUGGGAAUCAGGAGACGUGGGCUGGAGUGAUCUGCAUAGAGUUAUGUUGAAGUUUUUACUUUGGCAAAAAAAAGAAAAGAAGAAGAAAUAUUUUUCUGAUGACAUAUAGCUGAGAAGUCUAUAAAUGUUUUAGGAUGACAUAGUCGGGGGGAAUCCUGGAUCAUAUCUAAAAAGAUGGAGUUUCAUAAGAAAAAUUGACUUGGCUUCAGGAAAACCAAUUGCACAGAUAUAAGGAAGAUGUGUCUGAAUGAUGGCAGGUGUGUGAGGGGCUGCGGAUCCAGAGGAUGACGUAAUGCAUUCAAGGGGUGAGAGACGCAGCCGCAGGAUGCAUUCACAACAGUGUAGAACGUGGAACGAAGGCACAGAGGACAAUCCUGGAUCCUCUGGGAAGCUCACUUUCUCAGAACUGGUUGGAAGAAGUAAUUUCCCAGGAGUCCCAUUCUAGUCACAGAAAGAACUUUCUAAGAGUGAGAGCUGUCCGAGGAUACAUAGGUUUCCUUGGAUCAGAGUGAGCUCCCUGUCGCUGGAUGUAUGCAAGCAGCCACAGGGCAGGGAGGCUGCACAGGGCCAGGUACCAGGGCUGUUCUCAUUGUCAUCUUCCUUCCCAGCAGUGGCACCAUGCAUGGCUCAGACACAAGCCAUAAUAAUUGCCUAAUUAGUGAAUUGAUGAAUAUCACAAAUCUGGAGAAAAUCGAUGGGCUGCGGUGUUCCUUCCAGGUCUGGAUGCUAUGGUGCCAUGAAAUCCCCACGAGAGAAGAGGCAUCUACUAGUUUCUUACUUCUGCUGUAACAAAUCACCACUAACUUAGUGGGCUAAAACAACACACAUUUAUUCUCCUGAAGUUCUGGAGGUCAGAAGUCCAAAAUCAGGACCCCUGGGCUGAAGUCAAGGUGUUGGCAGGGCUGGCUCCUUACAGAAGCUUUCAGGGUAGAUUCCGUCUCCUGCCUUUUCAGUUUCUAGAGGCCACCUGGAUUCCUCGACUCGUGGCCCCUUCCUCCAUCCUCAAAGCUCUCAGCUCCAAGCUCUUCCUACAUCGUCACUUUCCCUUCUCUCUUCUGUGGUCGCAUCUCCCUCUGCCUCCUGCAUAUAAGAACAUUUGUGAUUCCACUAGUGACGCACCCAGAUAAUCCAGGGUAACCUCUCCAUGUCGAGAGAGAUGUCUCCAUCUUCAUCACAUCUGCAAAGUCCCUUUUGCCACAUAAGGAAAAUUCUCAAGUGCCAGGGACUAGGGUAUGGCCACUUUCGUGGUGGGGGAGGGGGGGAGCAUGAGUUAUUUAAAUUACCACCGGGUGGAAGAGAAUAAAACCAGGAGUGGGUUAUUGGAGGCACCUCCCUGUCUGGGGAAGGGAAGAAAGUGGAACUAGGGAAGGAGGCAGAAGAAAGAAGCCACGAAGUUCAGAGGACCCACGACCACGUGGUGACCAGCAACCUGGGGAGAAGGAUACGGGGGAGUUGGAAAGAGAAGGUGGUGGCCAGGGUGGAGAAAGAUCAGGGUUUGGCCUGACUCUUUCACUGUAGCAUCCUCAGUUCCUGGAGCUGUGCCUGACAUAUAGUAGCUUCUCAAUAAGGGUGCGUUGAAUGAAUGAAUAACUGGGGAUGUUGCUACUGGCUGAAGAAACAGCUGUGCUGGUGGGCCUGGGUCAGCAUCUUCCCAAGGCCGGGCUCUGUAAAUCCCCGUGGGAAGCUGAGAUACGGGCUGGGCAUGACCUGUGCCAGAAUGAGAACUGGGCCCCGACGAGGCUAGCCUCUCCACCUGCUCUGUUUCAGAGGCUCGGCGGCCGCCUUCAGAGCAUGAGCUUUGUGUAAGGUUGCAUUGAACCCAGAGAAAAGGUGAAGGCAUGCGGCCCGGAAUACUGAUGGGGAUUUGGCACGCAGAAGUGAGAGCUCUGCGCAGUUUAAGGCCUUGGGUUUUGUCCCACUUUCUGAAGGAGAAGAUGUGAGACUUAGCAAGCACCGAGCGUCCACGUGUACACGCCAAGGAACAGAUACCGUGCCAAUGAGCAAACUGUGAUUCAGAAAACCUUCUCCCUCUUCCAAUCUUUCCUGCUUCGGAGACAGAACGCAAAUGUCCCUGCGUUCCAGCUGUAACGCAAGUCUUGCCGCUGAUUAAAGGGCAGACCUGGAAACUCUCCGGUGAGCUAUGCUCCUAACUAUGUCUCCUGCUCACUCCAUCCAGCAGACAGAGGACAGCUUUUCCUUGCUGUUUAUUCACUGGAGCUGCUGGGGCCCUUCACAUUUAAUUAUGUGUGCUUGCAAAAUAAAUGUGGAAUGAAA